UCUUAGCUUUUCAAAGCUUCAAAAGCUCUUCAACUUCUUCUAAUAUUCUUGUUCAUCUUUACAAGUAAAAAGUGUUGUUUGCUUUAAUAUUCUACUCCUCUAAUCACCUCUUGUGCGUGUCCACUUUGGUUGAGAGGGUUGUCUCAAUAGUACCAAAGUGUGAGAGAAGGUUUUUGAGCUCAACCAUAUAAAGCUUUAGUUUGGUUUUAUAAAGUUU
Molecule: long non-coding RNA, 217 nt
Filed under: Zostera marina
Lineage: Eukaryota; Viridiplantae; Streptophyta; Magnoliopsida; Alismatales; Zosteraceae
Description: long non-coding RNA (ZMAR_LNC004073)
Source: RNAcentral